Mus musculus (house mouse) is the source of this 1257-nucleotide long non-coding RNA. RefSeq annotates it as DNA damage-induced stem cell specific noncoding RNA. The record is from RefSeq and is a predicted model, not a curated record. NCBI's taxonomy places the organism in Eukaryota, Metazoa, Chordata, Mammalia, Rodentia, Muridae. The transcript has 5 exons.
ACUUCACAGCCACGGUAUUCUACCAGGAGAAGACUGAGCUAGGGCAGUCCUUCUGGAAGAAGUGACCUGCUGGAGGUGGAAUGGCUUUAGCCUACAGAAAGGGGUAAGGGGGAGGAGAAUACUAGAAGGAACUGGAACUCUCCAUCUAAUAGGCAUCUUUGGAUCUCCUGCUGGGUAGCUCCUAGCAACAUGGCCAGGACAGGUGCUUUAGGCUAACAUGUGGCCGAACAGAGGACUGGAGGCAGUGUGGCAAGAAGCAAAGGAAAAGCAGGACAGAGGCCGUUUGGGCACUGUCCAGAGGCUAGCAAGAUAAGAUCUACCGCCCCAUCUCGGAAAGCCUCCAAAGGCAGAUUAAUUGGACAGCCCAACACGAGUCGCAUCGUUAAAACAACAGCCUGGGUUGUAAAGUUAAGUAGCAGAAGCCGUAAUUGCUCUUUCAGCCAGGGACCAGCUGAGCCUGCGGCACCCCUUCCCUUACCCCCAUGUGCCCUUCCCAUGUGACACUCUUUUCCACUUGGGAGCUGAUCCAGUUGCCUUGGACUUCUAGGUGCUGAUGGACUCGGAGGAAUCCCAACAAGAAAGAUGCCUCAUCUCCAUCUCUCUAGAUACCAUGGUUACUGAAUCCUGUGCUCCACUGGCAACACUGUGUCUGACAGUAAAGCAAAGGGAAGAGGGAAGACAGGAACGAUAACAGGAUUUGCUUCGCUGUACAGUUGUGAUGAUGAACUGAUAAAAUGCCUGUAACAGCCUUGACAUGGUGCCUGGGACACAGUAGGCGCUUUAUAAAUGACAUUCGCAUCUGCCACUGGGGCAGUCAGUCGAAGGGGUCAGCUUGCUUUCAAGGAGUCUGAUCAAAGUUCCUUUCAUCGACCUGGUGGCAAUCUGCUGUCUGUCUGGCCCCAGGGCCAUUGAAGCUUCUGCCUUCCCCAAAGCAUGUUACAGGCCUGUUGGAGGUGGAGCCCAGGAAGAAUUCCCUCAGUGUGUCCUCCAUGGCUGCUGCCUCUUCCCAGUGGACAAGCUCCCAGAGUGAAGCCAGUGUCAUCGCAGGCCUCCUCGUGUCACCCCAUGCCUCUUCUUCUCAUGUCCCAGCUGGCCAGAUCCACAAAUGAAAGAAUACAGCGACCCUGUCAUCCCAGAGUGCGUGCUGACAGGCGGGCCCAAGGAUCCUGGCACAGGAGUAACACAAAUAUUAGAAGGUAGAGACAAGAGGACCAAUAGUGUAAGGUUAUCCUUAGCUACACUGCAAGUUCAAAGCCA